RNAcentral lists this ribosomal RNA (542 nucleotides) under Mycolicibacterium poriferae. RNAcentral describes it as "bacterial SSU rRNA". It matches the Rfam family "Bacterial small subunit ribosomal RNA", at positions 44 to 601 of the family's 1533-position model. Lineage: Bacteria; Bacillati; Actinomycetota; Actinomycetes; Mycobacteriales; Mycobacteriaceae. The record is from RNAcentral.
GUGCUUAACACAUGCAAGUCGAACGGAAAGGCCCCUUCGGGGGUACUCGAGUGGCGAACGGGUGAGUAACACGUGGGUGAUCUGCCCUGCACUUUGGGAUAAGCCUGGGAAACUGGGUCUAAUACCGAAUAGGACUCCGGACUGCAUGGUCUGGGGUGGAAAGCUUUUGCGGUGUGGGAUGGGCCCGCGGCCUAUCAGCUUGUUGGUGGGGUGAUGGCCUACCAAGGCGACGACGGGUAGCCGGCCUGAGAGGGUGUCCGGCCACACUGGGACUGAGAUACGGCCCAGACUCCUACGGGAGGCAGCAGUGGGGAAUAUUGCACAAUGGGCGCAAGCCUGAUGCAGCGACGCCGCGUGAGGGAUGACGGCCUUCGGGUUGUAAACCUCUUUCGCCAGGGACGAAGCGCAAGUGACGGUACCUGGAGAAGAAGCACCGGCCAACUACGUGCCAGCAGCCGCGGUAAUACGUAGGGUGCGAGCGUUGUCCGGAAUUACUGGGCGUAAAGAGCUCGUAGGUGGUUUGUCGCGUUGUUCGUGAAAUC